Molecule: long non-coding RNA, 1480 nt
Organism: Callithrix jacchus (white-tufted-ear marmoset)
Lineage: Eukaryota; Metazoa; Chordata; Mammalia; Primates; Cebidae
Source: Ensembl
CCCCGGGCUCCCAGCUCCCGGCGACCGCCGCACGCUGCCUCCGCCGCCCGCUGCCCGCGGCGAGGACGGACGAGAAUUGGGGACUCGUUUGUUUGGGGUGGGGGUGGGGAUGGGGAUGGGGGGAGGAAAGGAAGAAAGAAAGGAAAGGAAAGGAAAGGAAAAAGGAAAGGAGGGGGGAGGGAGAGGGAGAGGCGAAGCCGAGGAUCCCGAGAAUCUUGCACCAAACGCGCCCAAGCUGGAGAGAGGGGGAAAAUCCUUCCAGAAGAAUUUGCAGGCGUGGAUUGGGGUAAUCUUUUUUCUUUUUUUUUUUUUUUCUUUUUUUUUUUUUUUUUUUUUUUUUUUUUUUUUGGCGAGAUAGCGUGGGGGGAUCGGAGUUAGAGGCAGGGAGGAGAAGGGGGGGAAAGUUCUCGGGGGAGGCAAAAAAAAAAAAAAAAAGUUUUUUUCUCCUCCGCAAAAGGCGGGCAGGGCGCCCUAAGUCCAAGGACAAUCCAUGGAAGUGUUCGCUUCUUCACAAGUUGUGCAAACGAUUUGUUAGUUCAUGAGCCUAAUUAGUGCGGGGAUCACAUAAACAGCUUCCUCCGAAGCCUGGUAAAUGGCUUGAUGAUUGGUCGCUAUUACUCGCCCUGAGGUGGAAGGGGGGAGACUCUUUAAAGUGCGUCAGAGGGAGGCGAGCGCCUGGGAACCCGGAGGCCUGGAUCCGGGCCGAGAGUGGAACGGAGUCGGCGCCGCUGUCUCGGUCGAGCCUCCCGCAGCCCGCCGGGCCGCCUGGCCUCUCCGCGUCUUCGCCCCGCGCUCCCAGCUCACUCGCUCCUGCGGCGCCCGCUGCGGCUUCUCCUCCUCCUCCUUCUUCGCCUCCUCCUCUUCCUCGGGUUUCUGCCUCUCCUCCUCCUCUUCUUCCUCCUCCUCUUUCCCCACCUCCUCCCCCUCAGCCACCGCCUCCUCCUCCACCAGCACCACUCCCUCCGGGGCACCCCGGUCCCUGCAGAGUCCCUGGCCGGCACCGCCUCUGCUGCGGCCCCCUGAAUCCUGAGUCUGCUGCGCCCAAGCUGGUAGGACAGACGGACAGAUUCCUCAAGUCUAGCGCUCCGCCGCUGCUGCCCGGCGCUGCCCGGCGUCGAGGGAACAGGGAUCGCCCCGGGAGGACCGCGAGGAUACUGUAUUGGCAUUUGAGAUUGAAAAGUGAAAAAUCCUAUGAUAUCCUCCUUCGAGAAGCUCACUCCGUAGCCGUGAAAGACUAACCUUGUAAAUACUACGUUUUCAUACUAUGGAAAACUGUGUAGUGUAGCUACUGCAAAGAUGGAAGCUCUCUCUCUGUAAUGUCAUGGAAAGACCUCCAAGACCUAUCAAGAAGGAAAAAAAGCAAACUCCAGGACAAUACAUGAUAUGAUCCCAUUAAUGCUUAAAAUAAAUACUACUUGUUUGUGUUUGUGUGUGUGCGCGCCUGUGUGUAUUCACAUACUAAUAUAUAGUUACAUGUGCA